Hemicordylus capensis (graceful crag lizard) is the source of this 670-nucleotide long non-coding RNA. RefSeq lists it as uncharacterized. The transcript has 3 exons. The record is from RefSeq and is a predicted model, not a curated record. Lineage: Eukaryota; Metazoa; Chordata; Lepidosauria; Squamata; Cordylidae.
GGGACACGGAACCACGGGCAUGGAUGCUGAGGUGGCUCCCCACCGGGGAACGAACUACACUGAAAACAGCAACACCAGGAAGUUCAUGUGGAGUCCCUGAUUCACAGCUAUUGUGAGUCCCUGCAGCGUCUUCGAUCUGGCUGAAAGACAGCUUACAUGCUGGGCUGACCAUUCUGCUACAAGAUGAUUGGAAACAUAGGACAAACUUAUCUUUGUUUGUCUUCUAUAAAAACCUCUUAAGUGCCUGCUCCUCUGACAGAAUAAGGCCUCGUGGGGAGAUCUUCGAGUUGCUCUCCUAAUCUGCAAAAUAAAUAACCAAACAAAUGAGCAAUGCUGGUUGGGUAUGCAGUUUUCAGUUCCGUUAAGGAGGUGUUAUAAGGUUUCAUUUGUUUGGGAAAUUGCCCAGACAUUUUGGUUCCCAAAGGAAUGUGCAAGCUCGUUUCCCAUAGACCACUGAGCAGCUGUCAGAAGGUAAUAGAUGUCUGGUUACUGCCAAAUUGGGGACUGGAUUUGAAUCCGUGACCAAGAGGUGAGAACGUUCCGCAUUGUGUAACCCAACAACCCCCUCUACUGCCCAUAGUCCUUUAGUCACCUAUGAAAAGUAUCCCCUUUCUUGAAACAAAUGCUUCCAUCUAUGAAAUGAAGAGGUACCAGUUAUUUUAACAAACAU